This 475-nucleotide ribosomal RNA is filed under the name uncultured bacterium. RNAcentral describes it as "bacterial SSU rRNA". It matches the Rfam family "Bacterial small subunit ribosomal RNA", at positions 32 to 507 of the family's 1533-position model. The record is from RNAcentral.
AACGCUGGCGGCGUGCCUAACACAUGCAAGUCAACUUGACUGAAGGAGCAAUCUGACAGUAGAGUGGCGCAAGGGUGCGUAACGCGUAAGUAACUUGCCCAAGGUAAGGAAUAACGUCGAGAAAUCGGCGCUAAUACCUCAUAAUGCAGCGGAUCCGCAUGGAUAUGUUGUUAAAGGUUUACCGCCUUGGGAUAGGCUUGCGUCUGAUUAGCUAGUUGGUGUGGUAACGGCACACCAAGGCUACGAUCAGUAACUGGUCUAAGAGGAUGAUCAGUCACACUGGAACUGAGACACGGUCCAGACUCCUACGGGAGGCAGCAGUGAGGAAUAUUGGGCAAUGCUCGAAAGAGUGACCCAGCAACGCCGCGUGGAGGAUGAAGGUAUUCUAUAUCGUAAACUCCUGUGAGAGCAGACGAAAGACAGAUUAUUAAUCUGGAUGACUGUAUGCUCAGAGGAAGCCCCGGCUAACUACGUG